GAUGAAGAACGUAGCGAAAUGCGAUACGUAGUGUGAAUUGCAGAAUUCAGUGAAUCAUCGAAUCUUUGAACGCACAUUGCGCCCUUUGGUAUUCCAAAGGGCAUGCCUGUUCGAGCGUCAUUUGUACCCUCAAGCUUUGCUUGGUGUUGGGCGUCUUGUCUCCAGUCCGCUGGAGACUCGCCUUAAUGUCAUUGGCAGCCGGCCUACUGGUUUCGGAGCGCAGCACAAGUCGCACUCUUUUCCAGCCAAGGUCAGUGUCCAACAAGCCUUUUUUCAACUUUUGACCUCGGAUCAGGUAGGGAUACCCGCUGAACUUAAGCAUAUCAAUAAGCGGAGGA
This 338-nucleotide unclassified non-coding RNA is filed under the name soil metagenome. RNAcentral describes it as "partial contains 5.8S ribosomal RNA, internal transcribed spacer 2, and large subunit ribosomal RNA". The stretch from base 1 to 120 matches the Rfam family "5.8S ribosomal RNA", at positions 35 to 154 of the family's 154-position model. The record is from RNAcentral.